UCUUGCUGGACCUCCAUUGACAUUUGUCCUGAUCCCUGUGAAAGAGACUCAAACGCGUUAAACAGCUGCAAAGCAAAGCAAGUGAACAAAAAUUUGCUGAGCCUGGUGGUUGGGUCCCAGGGCAGUCAUUGAUCCAGCAGCCCGACGUGUUUUUGAGUUAAAAGUUGACAGAAAUUUUUAAAAUAUCACUUGGUAAUUAUGUUGUUUAAAAAAUUGGAAGAUUAAUACCUGAACAGCAACUAUAAGGUCUUAAGAAUGCAAACAUAAAAAAAAAAAACUUAAAUAACUAGGCAAUGCUUAGCCUGGUGAGGGUUCAAAUAAAGCCUGGUGGCCUGCCAGGCUUAUGAUACAGUGAGUUGCAAUCUCACGUUAACUCUUCUAUAAAGGAUUCAACCGACACACAUAGAAACACAACAACAACAACUAAUAAAAGACCUGUAGCUGACCUGACAAAAGAUGUAUGGCCCGCUGAAGCUCAUGGACGACGUGUCCGAGUUGUGAACAGUAUCAAGAGGGGAGGGGAGGUUAUCACAGUUCCAGCAACUCCUGCUCUGAUCGGCGCACGUCGUCUCAGUGCUCCUGGUCGGCCAAAGCAAAGCUUCCGAGGAGCUGCAAGGGGGGGAAAGGUGGAUACGCGGUCGAGGUGCUGCACGCUACAAAUGGACGUCUUCUCGCUCUGCACGAGGGUCGGGGACGAGGAAGACUGAAUUAGGAAGAAAACGUGGAAAUGAAGCAAAACUUAUUUCAGCUUGUUCAAAAACCAACAGAAAAUCAAGUUUUCCAGCUCGCCACAGGACUCCAUUCGCUCCACUGACCCACGCCGGCCCAGGCUCUCACUCUGGCUUCGUAUCUACGGCCGUGAAGCAGCUUCUGCCUCUCCAAUCUCACGCUGGUCUCUGCGACAGUCUGAGUCUGAGUAGAGAGCUUACGGUCCACUCGUCCUCCACCUGCGUCCUGAAGCUGAGCUGAUACGAGACGUUCUGGUUCAGGGAGGACGACGGAGGAUACGGACUGGACCACUUUAGCCAGUAGCUGCCAUCGCUUUCCUCGGACGCAGUCAGACCCCCAGGCGGACGUGCCCUCACUGUGCAACACCACCAAACAACACCACCAUCACCACGGACACUCACUGUUGUUUGAGCUGCUGCUUUCAUGAACGCCACAGUGAUCCAGACCGGAGAGGAGAGCCCGAUUCGGGAGAACCAACCACAUCAAGACCAGGAGGAGAGCCAUCCCUCCAGGCUUCACGGAGCCUCGCUUCUUUUCUUUGUAAGGAUCCAGAUCAGCGGCGUUUCCUCCACAUCGUCAAGACGCUCUUGCCUCAGAGGCCGACUCGCGACGUCAGCUCGUCUUUGAGGCACAAUCCGUCGCUUCGUCGACGAGGCGCCUGAAAACCCUAAAACCUCGGAGCACGUCGAAGGAGACCAGCACCUGAUGUGUCAUUCUGGAAUGUCGCCCGCCCGUUUUGUCGGUGCACAAGCAUGUGGUAGAUUACAGAUUUCCAAUCUGCAAGACUUUUAAGACGGCUGUGAAUAAAAGCAAGCGACCA
Gambusia affinis (western mosquitofish) is the source of this 1549-nucleotide long non-coding RNA. RefSeq lists it as uncharacterized. The record is from RefSeq and is a predicted model, not a curated record. Lineage: Eukaryota; Metazoa; Chordata; Actinopteri; Cyprinodontiformes; Poeciliidae. The transcript has 8 exons.